Falco peregrinus (peregrine falcon) is the source of this 1071-nucleotide long non-coding RNA. RefSeq lists it as uncharacterized. The transcript is spliced from 3 exons. The record is from RefSeq and is a predicted model, not a curated record. Lineage: Eukaryota; Metazoa; Chordata; Aves; Falconiformes; Falconidae.
CCUCUGGGGAAGGCGUUGGGCUCUGACUGCGGCGCACCCCGACUCCCUCCUGACCCCGGCGAGACGUGAUCGGUGUUUGCCUUCCUCCCCUUUCACAGGGCCUCGGCUGUUGCGUGCAGAGAAGCUGUCAGCCUUGUGAGAGAGCACGCCGCCGGCAAGCGCAUCGUGGUGCUUCGGUACCGAGCUGAGACCGCAGGCGUCCGUCUUUUGUUUGCGAAAAGGGAUCGCGAGGAAAGGUGCUGACCUCGGAGGGGGAGAGGUGGCGGGGGAACAGGGGGCGUUCCCACAAGGCAGCGGUGUGGAGCCGAAGGGGACUGCGAUUGAACGGGGACGGAGCCGUUUGGACCGAGUCUUGAAGAUCUCUCGGGUUUUUGUCCGAGGAAACUUCGUCUCGAGACGGUCCUAUCGCUCGCUGGCAACGUGACUAGUUGAAUCGAGAAUGUUCGCUGCCGGAACUUCAUCCACCGAGAUGGGAAGCCAGGCAACUUCCUAACGGGCCGUGGGCAGAGUUCCCUUCUUGAUGCCGUGCCUCUAUAAUAAACUGUGCAGUCCGUUAGCUGGACGGGCUGCAGUACCCAAAUUUUUUCGCCAGGUGGCAGCACCGCGCCCCCCCCCGGCGGAGUAAGGGCAGCGCAUGCGCAGACGCGGCAUGACGCCGAAGGGGGCGUGGCCUCCGGGCACGUCGCGGGCCGAUGACGCAAUCCCGCUUUGGCGCAUGCGCAGAAGGGCUUUCUGGCCAAGUAAGGUCAGCGCAUGCGCAGAAGCGGCUUUGACCCUCAGGGGCGGGGCUUCCGGCCCCGUGCGUCCGGGCCGAUGACGCAAUCCCGCUUUGGCGCAUGCGCAGAAGGGCUUUCUGGCCAGGUAAGGUCAGCGCAUGCGCAGAAGCGGCUUUGACCCUCAGGGGCGGGGCUUCCGGCCCCGUGCGUCUGGGCCGAUGACGCAAUCCCGCUUUGGCGCAUGCGCAGAAGCCUUGCUGGCCGACGGAGGGCGGCGCAUGCGCAGAAGCGGCUUUGACCCCCCCCUAGGGGCGGGGCUUCCGGCCUCGUGCGUAGGGGCAGAGGACGCAUCCGG